Molecule: long non-coding RNA, 258 nt
Organism: Bubalus bubalis (water buffalo)
Lineage: Eukaryota; Metazoa; Chordata; Mammalia; Artiodactyla; Bovidae
Exons: 3
Source: RefSeq, a predicted model, not a curated record
UGUAAAACACUUUCCUAUUUUGAUUCUUUUCAUCCUCAGCAGUCUUAUGAUCUAGGCAAAGCAGGCAUCUGAAACUUUGUUUUACAAGUGAAGAAAUGGAAGCUCAGAAAACUUAAGUGACUUGCUCAGGAUACAAAGCUAUGCCGCCUGCCAAGGACACUCUGUGUUUCUCAGGACUUAAUAACAAGAAACUGCAAUCAUCCUUGGGAACAGAUGGAGAUGAUGGAAGAGGAAAAGAAGGACACAGAUAACUGGACU